GAUGAACGCUGGCGGCGUGCUUAACACAUGCAAGUCGAACGGAAAGGCCCAAGCUUGCUUGGGUACUCGAGUGGCGAACGGGUGAGUAACACGUGGGUGAUCUGCCCUGCACUUCGGGAUAAGCCUGGGAAACUGGGUCUAAUACCGGAUAGGACGAUGGUUUGGAUGCCAUUGUGGAAAGUUUUUUCGGUGUGGGAUGAGCUCGCGGCCUAUCAGCUUGUUGGUGGGGUAAUGGCCUACCAAGGCGUCGACGGGUAGCCGGCCUGAGAGGGUGUACGGCCACAUUGGGACUGAGAUACGGACCAGACUCCUACGGGAGGCAGCAGUGGGGAAUAUUGCACAAUGGGCGCAAGCCUGAUGCAGCGACGCCGCGUGGGGGAUGACGGCCUUCGGGUUGUAAACUCCUUUCGCUAGGGACGAAGCGUUUUUGUGACGGUACCUGGAGAAGAAGCACCGGCUAACUACGUG
RNAcentral lists this ribosomal RNA (468 nucleotides) under uncultured bacterium. Its description in RNAcentral is "partial 16S ribosomal RNA". It matches the Rfam family "Bacterial small subunit ribosomal RNA", at positions 28 to 507 of the family's 1533-position model. The record is from RNAcentral.